This 4933-nucleotide long non-coding RNA is filed under the name Triticum aestivum (bread wheat). RNAcentral's name for it is "long non-coding RNA (TAES_LNC010610)". Lineage: Eukaryota; Viridiplantae; Streptophyta; Magnoliopsida; Poales; Poaceae. The record is from RNAcentral.
AAACAUGACCCUAAGUCUGGAUACAAAGGAAAAAAUGAGGGAUGCAGCAAGAAUGGGGGUGAUGGGGAUGAUGACCCUGUCGAUGCAAAGGAGGAAGAAAGUGUGGAAUCUGAUGAGUCAGAACAUAAUACAUUGCUGAUUGAAACUAUGGUUGUGGAGGCUUAUAACAAAGAAAAAACAUAGGGCUCUAGGGCAAUGCUGGGUAUUGAUGAUACCAAGCAUAAUGCUGAUGAGAUUCAGGUAGAUUAAAAUGAUGAUGCGUGUUCAUUUGUUACUGCUAUACCUCAUGAUAAUAUAGCUCAUUUAAAUGUGGCUAUGGAUUAUGAGCAGGUGGUGGAAAUUGAGGGAGAGGACCUUUCCAAGUUGGGGAAAUCAGAAUAUCUGGUACAAUAUCCUACCUCUUCUUAUGAGGAUGUGGGAGAGGUGAUUCCUACCCCUCCCCUUUUGGCUGAAGAGGUUUAGAGAUUUAGCUUGAGGAACUUGUAGAAUAUGGAAGGAAGAAUGCAAGAGAAAGCUAUUGUCAUUUCCCGCAAGAGAAAUCUAGAAGGUAACUCAGCAAAUCAUAACUCCUUUGAUGCCCUGUCUAAUCCUGAACUUAUGAUUCGAGCUAUAAAAAUGGGGGUAGCAUUCCCUGACAAUAACUUCUCUAAUGUGGACAUUAUUAGAGAACUUGAAAUAGUCAGGGGGGAAUUUCAAAAAAGAGGGGGAACCGAAUGUGAGGAUUGAGGAAGAGGUGAUGUAUAUCACUAAUGGAAAGGGAGACCAAACCCCUGUUAGCACUGAGUGGGGAGAUGGGGAUGAGGAUAUGGAAGAACAAUUUACCAUGGUUCGGUCUAGGAAAAGAAAAAGCCCUAAAGUGCAAGUGGCUAUCUCCAGAUCCACUACUAGAAGUCAAAAAAAUCUUGUUGAAAAAAACAAGCUGGCAGCCCUGUCCAUAAUAUCAGGGCCACCAGAAGGGGGAGAAAAGGGAAAAGAUAUAAAUGAUAGGUCUAUUUUGGAAUUGUAGGGGGCAGGAAAAAAAGGGAUGAAAACCUACCUAUCCCAUAUAAUUAGUGACCACUCCCUUGACUUUCUCUGUUUGCAAGAAACUUUAAAAAAGAAUUUUCUGGAUAGUUACUUUAGGAAGCUUGACCCACACAAUUUUUUUGAGUGGGAAUGGAUCCCCUAAAUUGGUAAGGCCCGAGGCAUUUUAUGUGGGGUUAGAAAGGAGAAAUUUGAAGUAAUUGCUUGGAGGAAAGGCAGAUUCAUUCUUCAGGUAUCUCUAUGAUAUCAAAAUGAAGAAAAUUUGGACACUUUGUACUAUUUAUGGAGCGGCCCAUGAGUGUGAUAAAACUGAAUUCCUUAGUGAAUUGGCUGAUUUUUGCUGCCAUAUUCAAACACCAUUAUUGAUCGGAGGUGAUUUCAAAAUACUCAGACAUAGUGGGGAGAAAAAUAAGAAAUGGCCUCGCUCAGCACACUCUGACCUGUUUAAUUCGAUCAUUAAUACUAUGUGUUUGAAUGAGAUUCAUAUGAGUGGGGGGCUUAUACUUGGUCUAAUAACCAAGCUCAUCCGACCUUGGAGAAAUUGGACCGUGUGAUUAUGAGCAAUGAUUGGGAGGAUAUGUUUCCUCUUGUUAAUAUGAAAAAGCUCGUUAGGGAGGUCUCUGACCACAAUGCUCUCCUAUUAUACUAUGAUAAUCAUGUUAUUAGAGCUCCACAAAAAAGUGAGUUUAGAUUUGAGCUGAGCUGGUUAAAAUCUGACGAUUUUGUUCCUCUAGUUAGCAAGAUUUGGAAUCAAAAUGUGAAUGCUACCGAUCCUAUUGAUAUUCUAAAUAUCAAACUAAAAAGAUUUAAGAAGUUUUUUAAAGGCUGGGGAUCAAAUAAAUUUGGUCAUGAGAAGAAAAGAAAGCAGGAGAUUAGAGAAGAGCUUGCUUUUAUUGAAAAGUUAGAAGAGGAAGGAAAUAUAGGCAAUGAAUUGUUUUGUAGAAAAACUGAUCUCCUUGUGGAGAUGAAUGAAAUACUUGUCAAUGAGGAACUUUUUCUGCUGCAACAAUCUAAUGAGAGAUGGUUGCUUGGGGGGAUCGAAACACCGCUUAUUACCAAAAAAUAGCCAAUGGUAAUAAGCGGAAGAAUACAAUACACUCUCUUAAUGUUGGGAGUACGGUGAUUGAGGGGACCGAGAAGCUCUUGGAGCAUGCUACUGACUUUUAUAAAAACCUUUUUGGGCCAGCCCAGGGAAACAUGUUUCAUCUUGACCCUGGUGUCUGGGGGAAGAAGAGAAGCUCGAUGAGCUGGAUAAUGAAAUCCUUAAUAGACCUUUCACGGAGGAAGAAGUGAAGAAAGCUUUAUUUCCAUGAAAAGCAACAGGGCCCCGGGCCCGGAUAAUAUUCCUGCUGAGUUUUACCAGCAUUGCUAGGAUAUAGUGAAAGAGGAUAUUAUGAGAUUGUUUACUGCUUUUCAUGCAGGAGAUCUUGAUGUUAGUAGAUUGAAUUAUGGCAUUAUAACUUUACUGCCUAAAAUCAAUGGGGCCAAUAAGAUCCAGCAAUUUAGGCCAAUUUGCUUGCUUAGAUGUCCCUACAAACUGAUCACUAAGGUGCUUGAUAACUGAGUGCCCCCCCUUGCUGACAAAUUGUUUAGUAUGCACCAGAAUGCAUUUAUUAAGCAUAGAAAUAUCAUGGAUGGAGUAUUGCCUUUGCAUGAGAUUUUGCAUCAUACUUCCAUCAAAAAAGGGCGUAUUGUUAUUAAGCUCGACUUCAAGAAAGCAUAUGACAAGGUGAACUGGGAUUUUCUGUUGGAAUGUCUCGAGAUGAGAGGGUUUGGUACCACUUGGUGUAAGUGGGUUAAAAGUAUCUUGGUUGAUGGCACAGUUAGUGUUAAGCUGAACAAUACCAUGGGCUCGUAUUUCAAAAGCUUUAAAGGGGUCAGACAGGGGGAUCUUGUGUCGCCGUUCCUUUUUAACAUAGCAGUCGAGUGUCUGUGUAAAAUGGUGCUACAGGCUCAGAAAAGUAACUUAAUUGUUGGGCUUGCACCGGACCUUAUUGAAAAUGGAGUGGCCAUUCUGCAAUAUGCAGAUGAUACAGUCUUGUGCAUAGACCAUGAUCUGGAUAAGGAUGUGAACAUGAAACUGUUAUUGUACAUCUUCGAGCUCAUGUCUGGGCUCAAACUAAAUUUUCAAAAAAGUGAAAUCCUGUGUGUAGGGGGGAUGAUGAUAUCCUUAAAGCAUAUGUUGAUAUUUUUGAUUGCCAAAUAGGGCACUUUCCCAUGAAGUAUCUAGGGGUGCCAGUAACCUUUUCCUCCUUGCGAGUAGCUGUCUGGGACUUUUUGGAGUCCAGAUACAUUAAAAAGUGUGAUUCUGGGCUGGGGGGCAAUGCCUCCUCCGUAGGACGCCUGACGUUGCUUAAUGCUAAUAUUUCUAGCAUUGCCUUUUAUUAUAUGCCCAUGUUUCUUCUAUCCAAAACUAUACUUGCUAGGAUUGACAAGUGUAGAAGGAGAUUCUUUUGGCAUGUGACUCAUAAUAAGAAACGCUAUUAUCUUGUUAAGUGGACUAGAAUUUGCAGAUCUAAGAAUAAAGGAGGGCUGGGUGUGAAAGAUUUACAUAAGCAGAACCUUAGUUUGCUUACUAAAUGGUGGUGGAAAUUAGAAACUAAAUCUGGCUUGUGGCAGGAUAUUGUGAAAGCUAAAUACUUUAGUAGGGCCACUGUGGCUGGCACUAAAAUGAAGAGCAAUGACUCGCCCUGUUGGAAGGCCAUUAUGAAGGUGAAAUAUCUUUAUAUGGCAGGAAGGAGAGUGAUUAUACAAUCUGGAGACAUUGCUAGGCUAUGGAUUGACCCCAUUGGGGACAAUAUCCCUAUGGCUGAACAAUUCCCUCGUUUAUUUUCUAUAUGCAAUUAUCCUGAGUGCACAGUUGAUAAGUGCUUAAAUGCUGAUCCUUCUUCUUUCUUUAGAAGGAGACUGAAUAAUGAGCUCAAUGAACAGUGGAUAACUGUGGGUAACAUGGCUAGGGAAGCAUGUGUCUCAGAGGCCACUGAUGUGAUUAAAUGGGGUCUGGGAGGGAAAUCCUCAUUUACCACUAAAUUUGUAUACUCUUUCCUAGAAAGGAAUAUUGCUGGGUGCGACUACAGAUGGAUCUGGAGUGCCAGGAUACCUCUUAAAAUUCAAAUCUUCUUGUGGCAAUUAUUUCAGGAUGCUGUCCUGACUAGAGAUGUGAUGAAACAUCGAGGUUGGAAAGGAAAUCCCAAAUGUUCCUUUUGUGGUGGGCGAGAGACUGCACAACACUUGUUCUUCACUUGCCCUGUCGCUAGGGUGAUCUGGAGGACAGUGGCAUGCAUGUUUGGCACUGCUCUGUGCCCCGAUAAUAUUUGGCAAGCCUAUGUGUGGUGCUUUACGCUCUUUCCUGGUGGGGAAAAGUUUUAUACAGCGGGAAUUGCUACUGUGUGUUGGGCGAUCUCGUCUUGUCGCAAUAGAGAUACCUUCGAGUUCAAACCUAUUACAAAUCCUUUUGAAUGUAUCUUUUCUGCCUGUGCUCUAACGUGCUACUGGGCAGGACUACUAAUGUAAGAUGACGCGGCUACCAUGAGGGACGGGGCAAAGAUGCUAAAGGAGAACACAUCGAUGAUGAUGAGAAUCUGUGCGGUGAAUCACGAAGAAUCGGCCUGUUGAUUUGCUGAAGGUGCUACCCCAUGGUUUAGCUAGAUGUUUGAGGUGCUUUCCCCCUGUGCGAGCAUGAACUUUUGUUGCUCAAUUGUUGCGAGCCUUAUGUCUUGUGUUCUUUUGGGGCUGUAGGCCCUGGAUUCUAGCUACUGAGAUUUGGUGUCGUUGGGUUUUCGCCCCAUGGUGAGUAAUCUCGACGACGAGUGCUCAUGGUGGGUUUCCCGGCGAUGCUCUGGACUCGCUUCCCCUUUUCUCCUAUCUUUGGACUGCUGUAUUUCCGUUAUGUUGCAGUAAUGGAAAGGGG